CUAACUAAGCAGGCAUUAUCGAAUCAACAUGUUAAAGCCAAUACCCUCUC
RNAcentral lists this small RNA (50 nucleotides) under Arabidopsis thaliana (thale cress). RNAcentral describes it as "ATSL268170". Lineage: Eukaryota; Viridiplantae; Streptophyta; Magnoliopsida; Brassicales; Brassicaceae. The record is from RNAcentral.